GAUGAACGCUGGCGGCGUGCCUAAUACAUGCAAGUCGAGCGAACAGACGAGGAGCUUGCUCCUCUGACGUUAGCGGCGGACGGGUGAGUAACACGUGGAUAACCUACCUAUAAGACUGGGAUAACUUCGGGAAACCGGAGCUAAUACCGGAUAAUAUAUUGAACCGCAUGGUUCAAUAGUGAAAGACGGUUUUGCUGUCACUUAUAGAUGGAUCCGCGCCGCAUUAGCUAGUUGGUAAGGUAACGGCUUACCAAGGCAACGAUGCGUAGCCGACCUGAGAGGGUGAGCGGCCACACUGGAACUGAGACACGGUCCAGACUCCUACGGGAAGCAGCAGGAGGGAAACCUCCGGAAUGGGCGAAAGCCUGAAGGGGCAAAGCCGCGGGAGUGAUGAAGGUCUUCGGAUCGUAAAACUCUGUUAAUAGGGAAGAACAAAUGUGUAAGUAACUAUGCACGUCUUGACGGUACCUAAUCAAAAAGCCACGGCUAACUACGUG
Molecule: ribosomal RNA, 497 nt
Filed under: uncultured bacterium
Lineage: Bacteria
Description: partial 16S ribosomal RNA
Rfam family: Bacterial small subunit ribosomal RNA
Source: RNAcentral